RNAcentral lists this ribosomal RNA (574 nucleotides) under uncultured beta proteobacterium. RNAcentral describes it as "bacterial SSU rRNA". It matches the Rfam family "Bacterial small subunit ribosomal RNA", at positions 72 to 641 of the family's 1533-position model. The record is from RNAcentral. Lineage: Bacteria; Pseudomonadati; Pseudomonadota; Betaproteobacteria.
ACGGGUGCUUGCACCUGGUGGCGAGUGGCGAACGGGUGAGGAAUAUAUCGGAACGUGCCUCAUAGUGGGGGAUAACGCAGCGAAAGCUGUGCUAAUACCGCAUACGCCCUGAGGGGGAAAGCGGGGGACCGUAAGGCCUCGCGCUAUGAGAGCGGCCGAUACCUGAUUAGCUUGUUGGUGGGGUAAAAGCCCACCAAGGCGACGAUCAGUAGCUGGUCUGAGAGGACGAUCAGCCACACUGGGACUGAGACACGGCCCAGACUCCUACGGGAGGCAGCAGUGGGGAAUUUUGGACAAUGGGGGCAACCCUGAUCCAGCAAUGCCGCGUGAGUGAAGAAGGCCUUCGGGUUGUAAAGCUCUUUUGUCAGGGAAGAAACAGCAGCUCUAACACAGUCUGCGAAUGACGGUACCUGAAGAAUAAGCACCGGCUAACUACGUGCCAGCAGCCGCGGUAAUACGUAGGGUGCGAGCGUUAAUCGGAAUUACUGGGCGUAAAGCGUGCGCAGGCGGUUUAUACAAGACAGGCGUGAAAUCCCCGGGCUUAACCUGGGAACUGCGCCUGUGACUGUAUAGC